AUGAACGCUGGCGGCGUGCCUAAUACCUGCCAGUCGAGCGAACAGAUGAGGAGCUUGCUCCUCUGACGUUAGCGGCGGACGGGUGAGUAACACGUGGAUAACCUACCUAUAAGACUGGGAUAACUUCGGGAAACCGGAGCUAAUACCGGAUAAUAUAUUGAACCGCAUGGUUCAAUAGUGAAAGACGGUUUUGCUGUCACUUAUAGAUGGAUCCGCGCCGCAUUAGCUAGUUGGUAAGGUAACGGCUUACCAAGGCAACGAUGCGUAGCCGACCUGAGAGGGUGAUCGGCCACACUGGAACUGAGACACGGUCCAGACUCCUACGGGAGGCAGCAGUAGGGUAUCUUCCGCAAAGGGCGAAAGCCUGACGGAGCAACGCCGCGUGAGUGAUGAAGGUCUUCGGAUCGUAAAACUCUGUUAUUAGGGAAGAACAAAUGUGUAAGUAACUAUGCACGUCUUGACGGUACCUAAUCAGAAAGCCACGGCUAACUACGUG
RNAcentral lists this ribosomal RNA (496 nucleotides) under uncultured bacterium. Its description in RNAcentral is "partial 16S ribosomal RNA". It matches the Rfam family "Bacterial small subunit ribosomal RNA", at positions 29 to 507 of the family's 1533-position model. The record is from RNAcentral.